RNAcentral lists this ribosomal RNA (402 nucleotides) under uncultured bacterium. Its description in RNAcentral is "bacterial SSU rRNA". It matches the Rfam family "Bacterial small subunit ribosomal RNA", at positions 30 to 431 of the family's 1533-position model. The record is from RNAcentral.
AUUGAACGCUGGCGGCAUGCUUUACACAUGCAAGUCGAACGGCAGCACGGGUGCUUGCACCUGGUGGCGAGUGGCGGACGGGUGAGUAAUACAUCGGAACGUGUCCAGAAGAGGGGGAUAACGCAUCGAAAGAUGUGCUAAUACCGCAUAUACUCUAAGGAGGAAAGCAGGGGAUCGAAAGACCUUGCGCUUUUGGAGCGGCCGAUGUCUGAUUAGCUAGUUGGUGGGGUAAGGGCCUACCAAGGCGACGAUCAGUAGUUGGUCUGAGAGGACGACCAGCCACACUGGGACUGAGACACGGCCCAGACUCCUACGGGAGGCAGCAGUGGGGAAUUUUGGACAAUGGGCGCAAGCCUGAUCCAGCAAUGCCGCGUGAGUGAAGAAGGCCUCGGUUGUAAGUAC